This 512-nucleotide ribosomal RNA is filed under the name uncultured bacterium. Its description in RNAcentral is "bacterial SSU rRNA". It matches the Rfam family "Bacterial small subunit ribosomal RNA", at positions 36 to 507 of the family's 1533-position model. The record is from RNAcentral.
CUGGCGGCGUGCCUAAUACAUGCAAGUCGAACGCACUCUCGUUUAGAUUGAAGGAGCUUGCUCCUGAUUGAUAAACAUUUGAGUGAGUGGCGGACGGGUGAGUAACACGUGGGUAACCUGCCCUAAAGUGGGGGAUAACAUUUGGAAACAGAUGCUAAUACCGCAUAAAACCUAACACCGCAUGGUGUAGGGUUGAAAGAUGGUUUCGGCUAUCACUUUAGGAUGGACCCGCGGUGCAUUAGUUAGUUGGUGAGGUAAAGGCUCACCAAGACCGUGAUGCAUAGCCGACCUGAGAGGGUAAUCGGCCACACUGGGACUGAGACACGGCCCAGACUCCUACGGGAGGCAGCAGUAGGGAAUCUUCCACAAUGGACGAAAGUCUGAUGGAGCAACGCCGCGUGAGUGAAGGAGGUUUUCGGAUCGUAAAACUCUGUUGUUGGAGAAGAAUGUAUCUGAUAGUAACUGAUCAGGUAGUGACGGUAUCCAACCAGAAAGCCACGGCUAACUACGUG